GAGGGCACAGCUCAGUGGUACAGCAUGUGCUUAGUGUGCACAAGGUCUUCGGUUCAAUCCCAAGUGUCCCCA
This 72-nucleotide transfer RNA is filed under the name Camelus bactrianus (Bactrian camel). It matches the Rfam family "tRNA". Rfam says of the family: Transfer RNA (tRNA) molecules are approximately 80 nucleotides in length. Their secondary structure includes four short double-helical elements and three loops (D, anti-codon, and T loops). Further hydrogen bonds mediate the characteristic L-shaped molecular structure. tRNAs have two regions of fundamental functional importance: the anti-codon, which is responsible for specific mRNA codon recognition, and the 3' end, to which the tRNAs corresponding amino acid is attached (by aminoacyl-tRNA synthetases). tRNAs cope with the degeneracy of the genetic code in two manners: having more than one tRNA (with a specific anti-codon) for a particular amino acid; and 'wobble' base-pairing, i.e. permitting non-standard base-pairing at the 3rd anti-codon position. Lineage: Eukaryota; Metazoa; Chordata; Mammalia; Artiodactyla; Camelidae. RNAcentral also lists the same sequence under 2 other names. The record is from Rfam by way of RNAcentral.